GGCAGCGUGGCUUAGUGAUUAGAGCACGUGCCUGGGAGUCAGAAGGUCACGGGUCCUAAUCCUGGCACUGCCA
Molecule: transfer RNA, 73 nt
Filed under: Ornithorhynchus anatinus (platypus)
Lineage: Eukaryota; Metazoa; Chordata; Mammalia; Monotremata; Ornithorhynchidae
Rfam family: tRNA
About the family: Transfer RNA (tRNA) molecules are approximately 80 nucleotides in length. Their secondary structure includes four short double-helical elements and three loops (D, anti-codon, and T loops).
Source: Rfam by way of RNAcentral